RNAcentral lists this long non-coding RNA (699 nucleotides) under Vigna radiata. RNAcentral describes it as "long non-coding RNA (VRAD_LNC009892)". The record is from RNAcentral. Lineage: Eukaryota; Viridiplantae; Streptophyta; Magnoliopsida; Fabales; Fabaceae.
CGGGGCCCAAGUCCACUAAAUAAAGUCCAUUAAAGUCAAUUAGGAAGAAGGACAAAAGAAACCUUACACACAUGCAGGGGUGAGAUUAGCUUGAUAAGGGGUGUACCGGGAACCUUCUUAUAUUAGAAAUAGAAUAAACGUGUACUCCAUAGAAACUAUAGUUUCUAGAAGCUAGCACAUUUAGCACAUGUUUUAUCAAUUUGGAACGUGAUCCAUCUUGGAUGAACACGUUUUCAUCACCAGCCAAAGGAUNAGGAGUCUAUAAAACUCACCUUGGCUGCACCAUGUAUUCACUUUUGGAAUAUAAGAGAAUUUAUGCUGAUGCAUUUUCCAGCCAUUUUCUCUGCACUGAAAGUCCAUCCUUGAGCUUCCCCUUUCUCUCCUCUAGCUUCCUUCCAGGAUGGAAGGCUGUCUGAGCUAGAUACCAUAUCCACCAUUAGCUCAUUCUUCCACCAACGUCAAUCACCAAAUCCACUGAACCGCAAUUCUUCCGCUGCAUUUGAAUAUAGUGAGUGCAUUCUACCUCUGCUCACGGCUCCAAUCAACCAUUCCACUGCGUCAACAUUCCCAGGGCUGGAACGCACUCUAUCAUGUUGUAUUCAGAGCCUAGGUUGCUCACGGUGCUUUGAUUGUUCCAGCUAAGUCCACUUUUCUUCGUUUCAUACUGUCAUCAUCAUUCCAUUCUUGUUUUCUUUGUUG